This 199-nucleotide long non-coding RNA is filed under the name Elaeis guineensis (African oil palm). RNAcentral's name for it is "long non-coding RNA (EGUI_LNC036792)". The record is from RNAcentral. Lineage: Eukaryota; Viridiplantae; Streptophyta; Magnoliopsida; Arecales; Arecaceae.
AGCAAGUAUUUCUUUCCGAGCAAAGUCAAGCUGAUGGUGAUAUGAAGUCAAUUUUACAGCUAAGCCCCACGUCUUUUUUUCAGCUGAGUCGGACAUUUUCUUCAUCUUCUCGAUCAGUUACGCUUUCUCAAUGCUAUGUGACACAACCCCUCGUCGAGCUUCCCGCUGAAGCAUGGCGAUCCACUUUUCAGCCACCCUA